CAAUUAAGGUAGGAAGAAGGGAAAUGGUUAAAACCAACAUACAAUUCAAAAGGUAAAAAAAUAGGUCUAAAUAGUAAUGCACAAGGAAGAUGUAUAAAUAUGCAGGAUCAGAGCUAUACACUAUGACUAGAGACAGGUGCACUGUAUCCAGAACAGUUAAUGAAAAAUAUAUAAAUAAAUAAAAUUCCUUCUAGCUUUGAAGAUGGCAGGGGUGUGGGUGACUAGAUUUAUGUUCUUUUUUUAAUGACUGCAAAAUGAAAAAGAUGUGUUCAACACUCAUCGGACUAUGAAGUGCCCAGAGUGACUGGUCUUCAUCCUUGCUGGGACCAUAUGUGACAGGAGCUGUCCUCCUCGGUGAUAGGACCUGUGUUCUUCUGUGAUAAAACUUGUACUCUAAUGAGAUGCCCGUGUCUUCUUCUGUGAUAGCACCUUCUGUGACUAAAUCAACGUUCUUCUUUGAUAGAACCUUGUGUUUUUCUUUUGUGAACUAAAUCAAAGCCAGAUCUUUCAAAGGGGGUGUUUUUUUCCAAUAAGGAGGUCCCCAAUACUGCAGAACUGUCCUGCAAGUCUCGUCUCUGUGCGAGGUGCAGGUUACUGCAGAAGGUCAAUCAGAAGGUCUCCUUGCAGGUUGAAGACACACUAACCAUCCCUAAAUAAUUUGCUUGUUAGGUCCAGUUAUCUUACUAAUUGUAGGACAUAGUAUCAAAGACUUUGCAUCAACAUUAAUAUCACCAUCAACCCUUGGAACAAAUGGUAAAAAGAUAGCCCAUCUUCAGCCGCUGCGAGUUCCCUGCACAUUUCUUCUGGAAUUCAGGAAGCGUGAUCUGCAGUUGAGCCAACUUAAUCUACAAUGAAGCAUUUUUUUCUCUCUUACACAUAACAGCAGGCACUAGCAAUAUAAAUGAGGCGAAGCAAGAGUCUGCUUCAAUAAAUGAGGAUCAUCUAUUAAAGCCCAGCUUGUUUGUCAAUGACCAGAAUGAGAAAACACUAAAACUAAAACCCUACACGAGGGGACCGGCACUGGGAAACAAACGAGGUCUGCAGAGGACUAUUACAAUCCGU
This is a non-coding RNA of Pelobates cultripes (western spadefoot toad), 1062 nucleotides long. NCBI's taxonomy places the organism in Eukaryota, Metazoa, Chordata, Amphibia, Anura, Pelobatidae. The record is from the annotation of a GenBank genome assembly.